Molecule: ribosomal RNA, 253 nt
Filed under: uncultured bacterium
Lineage: Bacteria
Description: partial 16S ribosomal RNA
Rfam family: Bacterial small subunit ribosomal RNA
Source: RNAcentral
UACGUAGGGGGCAAGCGUUGUCCGGAAUCAUUGGGCGUAAAGCGCGCGUAGGCGGCCCGGUAAGUCCGCUGUAAAAGUCAAAGGCUCAACCUUUGAAUGUCAGUGGAUACUGCCGGGCUAGAGUCCGGAAGAGGCGGGUGGAACUCCUGGUGUAGCGGUGGAAUGCGCAGAUAUCAGGAAGAACACCGACGGCGAAGGCAGCUCGCUGGGACGGUACUGACGCUGAGGCGCGAAAGCGUGGGGAGCGAACAGG